Molecule: non-coding RNA, 70 nt
Organism: Neotoma lepida (desert woodrat)
Lineage: Eukaryota; Metazoa; Chordata; Mammalia; Rodentia; Cricetidae
Source: Rfam
GGAGAAAUGGCUCAGUGGUUAAGAGCACUGGCUGCUCUUCCAGAGGACCUGGGUUCAAUUCCCAGCACCC